CGAGUGGCGAACGGGUGAGUAACGCGUGAGGAACCUGCCUCAAAGAGGGGGACAACAGUUGGAAACGACUGCUAAUACCGCAUAAGCCCACGGGUCGGCAUGGGACAGUGUGAAAAACUCCGGUGGUACAGGAUGGAUUCGCGUCUGAUUAGCCAGUUGGCGGGGUAACGGCCCACCAAGGCGACGAUCGGUAGCCGGACUGAGAGGUUGAACGGCCACGUUGGGACUGAGACACGGCCCAGACUCCUACGGGAGGCAGCAUG
This 263-nucleotide ribosomal RNA is filed under the name uncultured bacterium. RNAcentral's name for it is "partial 16S ribosomal RNA". It matches the Rfam family "Bacterial small subunit ribosomal RNA", at positions 92 to 353 of the family's 1533-position model. The record is from RNAcentral.